AGGGAUUGAAGUGAUGAUAAAAAAAAUGACCAAAAUCAAAAUAAGAGUUUAUGUCUUUUUCCACAAGUAUAGGAUAAAGAAGAAAGGAAGAUAUUCAGAGAUAAAAAUAAAAGGAAGAUGAGUGAUAAGAAGAGUUGGGAGGAUAAACAAGGAACGACUUAUAAAUAAGCCACACUAAGUACAUAUAAAAGGAUGACGGCAUAAAAAAACACGAGGAAAGAAACCAUAGAAAAAAAAGAGAGAGAAAACUAGAGAGAUAUAAAAAUAUUUAGAUGAAUGACUUAUAAAUAAGCCACACUAGGUACAUAGAAAAGGAUGACAACAUAAAAAAAAAACAUAAGGAAAGAAACCAUAGAAAAAAAGAGAGAGAAAACUAAAGAGAUAUAAAAAUAUUUAGAUGGGAGUAGCCUAUGAAAAUUAAAACACAAAAAAAAAAUCAUGAAAGAACACACAAAGAAAACAUAGAGAAAACAAAGAAACUAGAUAAAAAAAAAAUUUUGCUAAAAAAAAAAGAAGAAAAAAUACUCUAUCCUAAGAAGCCACCAACGUUGCCCCCUUCAUCACCCAUCAUAAUCAGAAAAAAAGAUAGCAGGGACAACCCCACAACAAUUAUAACUAGCAUUAGUCACUUUCCCCUCUCUUGUUGGAGAAACGCAAUAAAAACCAACCUCUAGCGAUGGUGAACCAAUAGAGAGAGAGGAAAUUCAUUGAAGCUUCAUGAGGCUUUACCUCAUGUUUUAGGCGAUAUUGAUCCCCACCCCCGACUUAGAGGUAAAUAAAGUGUCGAUACAUUCUAUCUUGCUAUUCACACGCCCUCUAAGUUAUCAGAGUGUGUAAAUCUAUAACCUACAGUUUGCCCAGCUUCUAGCUUGUGCAAGACAUGCACCACUACUAUCUUUGUUUGCCUUGCUCCUACCGCAUGCUCGCCUUUCGCCACCAC
This 940-nucleotide long non-coding RNA is filed under the name Populus trichocarpa (black cottonwood). RNAcentral's name for it is "long non-coding RNA (PTRI_LNC003081)". The record is from RNAcentral. Lineage: Eukaryota; Viridiplantae; Streptophyta; Magnoliopsida; Malpighiales; Salicaceae.